Molecule: ribosomal RNA, 216 nt
Filed under: uncultured bacterium
Lineage: Bacteria
Description: partial 16S ribosomal RNA
Rfam family: Bacterial small subunit ribosomal RNA
Source: RNAcentral
UGGGAACCUUCCCUAUGGUUCGGAAUAGCCCAGGGAAACUUGGGGUAAUACCGGAUAAGCCCUUCGGGGGAAAGAUUUAUCGCCAUUGGAUGGGCCUGCGUACCAUUAGCUAGUUGGUAGGGUAACGGCCUACCAAGGCAAAGAUGGUUAGCUGGUCUGAGAGGAUGAUCAGCCACACUGGAACUGAGACACGGUCCAGACUCCUACGGGAGGCAG